RNAcentral lists this ribosomal RNA (428 nucleotides) under uncultured bacterium. RNAcentral describes it as "bacterial SSU rRNA". It matches the Rfam family "Bacterial small subunit ribosomal RNA", at positions 933 to 1359 of the family's 1533-position model. The record is from RNAcentral.
UGGAGCAUGUGGUUUAAUUCGAAGCAACGCGCAGAACCUUACCAGCGUUUGACAUGUCCGGUUUGGUUUCCAGAGAUGGAUUCCUUCAGUUCGGCUGGCCGGAACACAGGUGCUGCAUGGCUGUCGUCAGCUCGUGUCGUGAGAUGUUGGGUUAAGUCCCGCAACGAGCGCAACCCUCAUCCCUAGUUGCCAUCAUUCAGUUGGGCACUCCAGGGAAACUGCCGGUGAUAAGCCGGAGGAAGGUGGGGAUGACGUCAAGUCCUCAUGGCCCUUACGCGCUGGGCUACACACGUGCUACAAUGGCGGUGACAGUGGGCAGCAAACUCGCGAGAGUGAGCUAAUCUCCAAAAGCCGUCUCAGUUCGGAUUGUUCUCUGCAACUCGAGAGCAUGAAGGCGGAAUCGCUAGUAAUCGCGGAUCAGCAUGCCG